This 245-nucleotide ribosomal RNA is filed under the name uncultured Cryptosporangium sp. RNAcentral's name for it is "partial 16S ribosomal RNA". It matches the Rfam family "Bacterial small subunit ribosomal RNA", at positions 524 to 768 of the family's 1533-position model. The record is from RNAcentral. Lineage: Bacteria; Bacillati; Actinomycetota; Actinomycetes; Cryptosporangiales; Cryptosporangiaceae.
UACGUAGGGUGCAAGCGUUGUCCGGAAUUAUUGGGCGUAAAGAGCUCGUAGGCGGCUUGUCACGUCGGGUGUGAAAACCCGGGGCUCAACCCCGGGCCUGCAGUCGAUACGGGCAAACUAGAGUGUGGUAGGGGAGACUGGAAUACCUGGUGUAGCGGUGAAAUGCGCAGAUAUCAGGAGGGACACCGGUGGCGAAGGCGGGUCUCUGGGCCAUAACUGACACUGAGGAGCGAAAGCGUGGGGAG